UACAGAGGUCUCAAGCGUUGUUCGGAAUUACUGGGCGUAAAGGGCCAGUAGGCGGCCAACUAAGUCCGACGUGAAAUCCCCAGGCUUAACCUGGGAACUGCGUCGGAUACUGGAUGGCUUGAAUUCGGGAGAGGGAUGCAGAAUUCCAGGUGUAGCGGUGAAAUGCGUAGAGAUCCGGAGGAACACCGAAGGCGAAGGCAGUGUCCUGGCGAGUGACUGACGCUGAGGUGCGAAAGCCAGGGGAGCGAACGGG
This 253-nucleotide ribosomal RNA is filed under the name uncultured bacterium. RNAcentral's name for it is "partial 16S ribosomal RNA". It matches the Rfam family "Bacterial small subunit ribosomal RNA", at positions 524 to 776 of the family's 1533-position model. The record is from RNAcentral.